GACGAACGCUGGCGGCGUGCUUAACACAUGCAAGUCGAACGGAAAGGCCCCUUCUGGGGUACUCGAGUGGCGAACAGGUGAGUAACACGUGAGUAACCUGCCCUUGACUUCGGGAUAACUUCAGGAAACUGGGGCUAAUACCGGAUAGGAAUCCUUGCUGCAUGGUGGGGGUUGGAAAGCUUCGGCGGUUUUGGAUGGACUCGCGGCAUAUCAGCUUGUUGGUGGGGUAGUGGCUUACCAAGGCUUUGACGGGUAGCCGGCCUGAGAGGGCGACCGGCCACAUUGGGACUGAGAUACGGCCCAGACUCCUACGGGAGGCAGCAGUGGGGAAUAUUGCACAAUGGGCGGCAGCCUGAUGCAGCAACGCCUCGUGCGGGAGGACGGCCUUCGGGUUGGAAACCGCUUUCAGCAGGGGCGAAGCUUGUGGUGACGGUACCUGCAGAAGAAGCACCGGCUAACUACGUG
This 465-nucleotide ribosomal RNA is filed under the name uncultured bacterium. Its description in RNAcentral is "partial 16S ribosomal RNA". It matches the Rfam family "Bacterial small subunit ribosomal RNA", at positions 28 to 507 of the family's 1533-position model. The record is from RNAcentral.